GGAUAGCUCAGUCAGUAGAGCACAAGACUCUUAAUCUCAGGGCCAUGGAUUGAAGCCCCAUGUUGGACA
This is a non-coding RNA of Podarcis lilfordi (Lilford's wall lizard), 69 nucleotides long. The record is from the annotation of a GenBank genome assembly. Lineage: Eukaryota; Metazoa; Chordata; Lepidosauria; Squamata; Lacertidae.